Molecule: unclassified non-coding RNA, 349 nt
Filed under: soil metagenome
Description: partial contains 5.8S ribosomal RNA, internal transcribed spacer 2, and large subunit ribosomal RNA
Rfam family: 5.8S ribosomal RNA (bases 1-120)
Source: RNAcentral
GAUGAAGAACGCAGCGAACUGCGAUAAGUAAUGUGAAUUGCAGAAUUCAGUGAAUCAUCGAGUCUUUGAACGCACAUUGCGCCCCCUGGCAUUCCGGGGGGCAUGCCUGUCCGAGCGUCAUUGCUGCCCUUCAAGCCCGGCUUUGUGUUGGGUCGUCGUCCCCCCCGGGGGACGGGCCCGAAAGGCAGCGGCGGCACCGCGUCCGGUCCUCGAGCGUAUGGGGCUUUGUCACCCGCUCGAUUAGGGCCGGCCGGGCGCCAGCCGGCGUCUCCAACCUUCUAUUUUACCAGGUUGACCUCGGAUCAGGUAGGGAUACCCGCUGAACUUAAGCAUAUCAAUAAGCGGAGGA